This 468-nucleotide ribosomal RNA is filed under the name uncultured bacterium. Its description in RNAcentral is "partial 16S ribosomal RNA". It matches the Rfam family "Bacterial small subunit ribosomal RNA", at positions 28 to 507 of the family's 1533-position model. The record is from RNAcentral.
GACGAACGCUGGCGGCGUGCUUAACACAUGCAAGUCGAACGGAAAGACCCUGCUCUUGUUGGGUUCUCGAUUGGCGCACGGGUGAGUAACACGCGAGUAACCUCCCCUUAUCUUUGUGAUAACUUCAGGAAACAGCGGCUAUUACCGCGUAUGAGCUCCUGCUCCAUGUUGGGGGUUGGAAAGUUUCGGCCGUUGGGGAUCGUCUCGCGGCUUAUCAGCUUGUUGGUGGGGUAGUGGCUUACCAGGGCUUUGACGGGUAGCCGGCAUGAGAGGGUUACCGGCCACAUGGGGACUGAGGGACGGACCAGACUGCUACGGGAGGCAGCAGGGGGGAAUAUGACAGAAUGGGCGGAAGCCUGUGGCAGCAAUGCCGCGUGCGGGAUGACGGCCUACGGGUGAAGAACAGAUGUCGACGGUGACGAAGCCGGAGUGACGGUAAUGGGUAAAGAAGCAACGGCUAACUACGUG